GUGGAUUAGAUACCCGGGUAGUCCACGCCGUAAACGAUGAAUACUAGGUGUAGGGGUUGUCAUGACCUCUGUGCCGUCGCAAACGCAUUAAGUAUUCCGCCUGGGGAGUACGGUCGCAAGAUUAAAACUCAAAGGAAUUGACGGGGGCCCGCACAAGCAGCGGAGCAUGUGGUUUAAUUCGAAGCAACGCGAAGAACCUUACCUAGACUUGACAUCUCCUGAAUUACCCGUAACUGGGGAAGCCCUUCGGGGCAGGAAGACAGGUGGUGCAUGGCCGUCGACAGCU
This 286-nucleotide ribosomal RNA is filed under the name uncultured bacterium. RNAcentral describes it as "partial 16S ribosomal RNA". It matches the Rfam family "Bacterial small subunit ribosomal RNA", at positions 773 to 1060 of the family's 1533-position model. The record is from RNAcentral.